AGAGUUUGAUCCUGGCUCAGGAUGAACGCUGGCGGCGUGCCUAACACAUGCAAGUCGAGCGAUUCUCUUCGGAGAAGAGCGGCGGACGGGUGAGUAACGCGUGGGUAACCUGCCCUGUACACACGGAUAACAUACCGAAAGGUAUGCUAAUACGGGAUAAUAUAUAAGAGUCGCAUGACUUUUAUAUCAAAGAUUUUUCGGUACAGGAUGGACCCGCGUCUGAUUAGCUUGUUGGCGGGGUAACGGCCCACCAAGGCGACGAUCAGUAGCCGACCUGAGAGGGUGAUCGGCCACAUUGGAACUGAGACACGGUCCAAACUCCUACGGGAGGCUGCAGUGGGGAAUAUUGCACAAUGGGCGCAAGCCUGAUGCAGCCAUGCCGCGUGAGGGAUGGAUUGUAAACCUCUUUUGUUAGGGAGCAAGGCACUUUGUGUUGAGUGUACCUUUCGAAUAAGCACCGGCUAACUACGUGCCAGCAGCCGCGGUAAUACGUAGGUGGCAAGCGUUAUCCGGAAUUAUUGGGCGUAAAGCGAGCGCAGGCGGAUUUUUAAGUGGGAUGUGAAAUACCCGGGCUCAACCUGGGUGAUGGGAUGGAAACUGCCAAUCUAGAGUAUCGGAGAGGAAAGUGGAAUUCCUAGUGUAGCGGUGAAAUGCGUAGAUAUUAGGAAGAACACCAAUGGCGAAGGCAGGUCUCUGGGCCGUUACUGACGCUGAGGAGCGAAAGCGUGGGGAGCGAACAGGAUUAGAUACCCUGGUAGUCCACGCCGUAAACGAUGAAUACUAGGUGUGGGGGUUUCAACACCUCCGUGCCGCCGCUAACGCAUUAAGUAUUCCGCCUGGGGAGUACGGUCGCAAGAUUAAAACUCAAAGGAAUUGACGGGGACCCGCACAAGUAGCGGAGCAUGUGGUUUAAUUCGAAGCAACGCGAAGAACCUUACCUACACUUGACAUCCCUUGCAUUACUCUUAAUCGAGGAAAUCCCUUCGGGGACAAGGUGACAGGUGGUGCAUGGUUGUCGUCAGCUCGUGUUGUGAGAUGUUGGGUUAAGUCCCGCAACGAGCGCAACCCUUGUCGUUAGUUACUACCAUUAAGUUGAGGACUCUAGCGAGACUGCCUGGGUUAACCAGGAGGAAGGUGGGGAUGACGUCAAAUCAUCAUGCCCCUUAUGUGUAGGGCUACACACGUGCUACAAUGGCUGGUACAGA
Molecule: ribosomal RNA, 1205 nt
Filed under: human gut metagenome
Description: bacterial SSU rRNA
Rfam family: Bacterial small subunit ribosomal RNA
Source: RNAcentral